AUUGAACGCUGGCGGCAUGCCUUACACAUGCAAGUCGAACGGCAGCACGGGUGCUUGCACCUGGUGGCGAGUGGCGAACGGGUGAGUAAUAUAUCGGAACGUACCUUGUAGUGGGGGAUAGCUCGGCGAAAGCCGGAUUAAUACCGCAUACGCUCUGAGGAGGAAAGCGGGGGACCUUCGGGCCUCGCGCUACAAGAGCGGCCGAUAUCAGAUUAGCUAGUUGGUGAGGUAAGAGCUCACCAAGGCGACGAUCUGUAGCUGGUCUGAGAGGACGACCAGCCACACUGGGACUGAGACACGGCCCAGACUCCUACGGGAGGCAGCAGUGGGGAAUUUUGGACAAUGGGCGCAAGCCUGAUCCAGCAAUGCCGCGUGUGUGAAGAAGGCCUUCGGGUUGUAAAGCACUUUUGUUCGGGAAGAAAUCCUUUGGGAUAAUACCUCGGGGGGAUGACGGUACCGGAAGAAUAAGCACCGGCUAACUACGUGCCAGCCGCCGCGGUAAAAC
This 505-nucleotide ribosomal RNA is filed under the name uncultured bacterium. Its description in RNAcentral is "bacterial SSU rRNA". It matches the Rfam family "Bacterial small subunit ribosomal RNA", at positions 30 to 526 of the family's 1533-position model. The record is from RNAcentral.